Molecule: long non-coding RNA, 369 nt
Organism: Hordeum vulgare subsp. vulgare (domesticated barley)
Lineage: Eukaryota; Viridiplantae; Streptophyta; Magnoliopsida; Poales; Poaceae
Exons: 2
Source: RefSeq, a predicted model, not a curated record
ACAAUCUUUCUAGUCCUAUAAAUACAUAUACAUGUAAACACACAUCCAUCAAAAGUACUCAGCAUGGACUGCAAGCGCACCAUCAUCGUUGUUAUGUCUGCUAUCUUUAUGUUGGCGCUCCUCGUGUCUUGUGAUACAUUUCAAGGAAAAUGCAAAACGAAGGAGAUCCAUACAAAUGUACCAUGUCGUAAAUCCGAUAUGUGUAAUGAGUGGUGCCAUUCCGGCGAAUUCCCUGGCGGCGGGUACUGCAAUAUUCAGGGUGAUGAAGUAUUUUGUGUGUGUGUGGGUUGUGCGCCACCAACAUAAAACGGCUAGUUUGUAUCGAUGAGCUUCUUUGAAAAUAAAUAAAGUACAUGUAUCUAUGAAUAA